GCGUUGGUGGGGUAAGGGUAACCUUGUUCAUUCCCAUGUGGAAAUAUGUGCAGCUCCGGGUUCGAUUCCCGGCCAACGCA
Non-coding RNA from Russula compacta, 80 nucleotides. The record is from the annotation of a GenBank genome assembly. NCBI's taxonomy places the organism in Eukaryota, Fungi, Basidiomycota, Agaricomycetes, Russulales, Russulaceae.